This 697-nucleotide ribosomal RNA is filed under the name uncultured bacterium. Its description in RNAcentral is "bacterial SSU rRNA". It matches the Rfam family "Bacterial small subunit ribosomal RNA", at positions 8 to 694 of the family's 1533-position model. The record is from RNAcentral.
AGAGUUUGAUCCUGGCUCAGGUUGAACGCUGGCGGCAGGCCUAACACAUGCAAGUCGAACGGUAACAGGAAGAAGCUUGCUUCUUUGCUGACGAGUGGCGGACGGGUGAGUAAUGUCUGGGAAACUGCCUGAUGGAGGGGGAUAACUACUGGAAACGGUAGCUAAUACCGCAUAACGUCGCAAGACCAAAAAGGGGGACCUUCGGGCCUCUUGCCAUCGGAUGUGCCCAGAUGGGAUUAGCUAGUAGGUGGGGUAACGGCUCACCUAGGCGACGAUCCCUAGCUGGUCUGAGAGGAUGACCAGCCACACUGGAACUGAGACACGGUCCAGACUCCUACGGGAGGCAGCAGUGGGGAAUAUUGCACAAUGGGCGCAAGCCUGAUGCAGCCAUGCCGCGUGUAUGAAGAAGGCCUUCGGGUUGUAAAGUACUUUCAGCGGGGAGGAAGGGAGUAAAGUUAAUACCUUUGCUCAUUGACGUUACCCGCAGAAGAAGCACCGGCUAACUCCGUGCCAGCAGCCGCGGUAAUACGGAGGGUGCAAGCGUUAAUCGGAAUUACUGGGCGUAAAGCGCACGCAGGCGGUUUGUUAAGUCAGAUGUGAAAUCCCCGGGCUCAACCUGGGAACUGCAUCUGAUACUGGCAAGCUUGAGUCUCGUAGAGGGGGGUAGAAUUCCAGGUGUAGCGGUGAAAUGCGUAGA